This 2170-nucleotide long non-coding RNA is filed under the name Homo sapiens (human). RNAcentral's name for it is "HSALNT0363909". Lineage: Eukaryota; Metazoa; Chordata; Mammalia; Primates; Hominidae. The record is from RNAcentral.
GUGUCAGGGGCAGCUGCUGGAAGGAGGCGCAAGCACCACGGAGAGUCUGGGAUGCCCAGCCAAGGAGCCCUGGAAGGGUUGCCCUGGGGACUGACACUGUGGGCUCUGUGUUUUAGCCAAGUCACCCAGGCAGCUGAACAGAAGAUGGACUGGAGGGAGAAGCCUGGAUGUAGGAUCGCUCAGCAACAAAGGAGCCAGAAAAGGCAAGGUGUACACACCGUGUGCAGCAUGGGCGAGCUGCAGGCAUGCAGGUAAGAGUGUGUGCAUGCAGGUGUGUGCACACGAGUUUGCAUGUGCUGAUGCAGAUGGCUAUGAUGCGUGGUGGUGAUAUAUACAUGUGGAUGCUUAUGGAUCUGUGCCAACCAUUAUUAAGCACAUAUGUAUACCCGUGUGUGUAUAUGCAUGCAUGUGUUUGUGUGAGUUGCAAUGUGUAUACAACUUUACACAAUAAGUGAAUUGAGUACAUGUACCUGUUUAUCCACGGAAGUGUAUGAUGACUGGACAUAUGUAAAUAUGUGUAUUUGCAUGUGUUUAUACUUUGUGCAUAGAUGCAUGUUUGUGUAUUUAUGCUGAUCCAUUUAAGCGUAUGGGAUGUGUGUGGAUGUUUGUGUAACAUCUGUACAUACUCCAUAGGUGCAUCUUAAUACAGGAAUAUGGGUGCGAUGUGUAUGUGUGUGUGUGUGCCUGUGUGAACAGGUGCGGCUGGAGGUCUAUGAGUGUGUGGAUAGGUAUAUUUGCCUGUGCGCAUGUGCGAUUCACGUGGUGUGAGUGCACAUGGUCGCAGGCAAAUGUCUGUGUGGGCACACACAUGCCCUGUUGCCCUUUUCUGUCUUUUCCUGUUGGGAAAUUACAGAACUUCUGAGUCCUAACCAUGGCUGGUGGCUCUUCCAGGAACAUGGUUUCCUGGACCCAAAAGGUAAGCUUGUCAGGGACCCACGUGAAUGAGGAAGUGGGUGGGCCUGAGUCUGGGGCUCCUCUGAGAACUGCUGUGGACCAGGGAAAUCUUGCUGCCACCUCUGGUCUUUAGUCCACCUCUCAGUAGUAGCUUUCAAAGCUUGAUUUUUUUGGAGGCGUCUCCACGGAGCAUAGUCCUAAGCUCCUAGCCUACAUUGUCCCUGUUCCUGGGCCUGUUUGGUUGACAUUCUCUUACAGUUUAAAAAAGACAUCCACAUCCGUACUCUUAGCUAAUCCUUGUGACCUUUCUUCUAGUCUGUUUGGAGAGGCUGGGAGCAGAGUGGUUAAAAGAGCCAGGCCUGGUUCCAUUUCUGACCCCUCUUCUAGCUGAGCAACUUCCGCCUCUUCCAGCCUCCCUCACGGGAAUCACAGAUCACGUGAGAUGACACCCAUGAAGGGCUUGACUGGCAUCUGGCACAUGGUGAGGACUGCAAAAAUGUGGGCUAUUGUUUUUACUAUUAUCCCCAUUUUAUAGAUGAGGAAACUGAGGCUUGGAGAGGCUCUCUGCCUUUGUCAACCUGGAGAUGCUGGGAAGGAAGUGAGGCCCAUCCCACCUCAGAUGCCUGUCCUCUGUCGUCAGGAGCAUUCUCUUGUUCUUCCGGGCUUGGCCAAGCGGUGGUAAACCCCACAUGUGGUUCUGUGGUUGCCCACACAGUCCUAAAAAUAGCCAACAGGAACCCAGGGGCUCCCCCUUGGUGAGUGGCAGCAGGCCCAGUCCUCAGGCAGCCACCAACCUGCUCACUCCCCACAGGCAAGCAGGUCCUGUCUAGGAAGGGGCUGGGUGGCCUGGGUCCCAUGCAUGAUGAGCCAGAGGCUGUGCCAAGCUUAUAGCAAAUAUUAUUUUAUUUCAUUAUGUUUUCUUACAUCUGUGAUGUGGAGGCCAUAGCUCCACUGGACUCAUGAGGAGACUGAGGCUCAGAGCAAUGAAGUGACCUGCUCAAAGUUAAGGAGCUUCAGUUUGGACCCAAUUUGUUCUGAUCCUAAGGUCACUAUCCUUAAUCCCUCUCCCUGUGGGGUCUUCCCUAUCUUGAGCCUGUGGACAGCUGUGCAGUGGCAAGAAAAAGGCCUUCAGAGCUACGCAGACCUGGCUUCAAAUCCCAGCCUCCCUGAUGAGCCCUGGUGGUCUUGGAGCUGUAACGCUCACUGCGAAGAUCUGCAGCUUCACUCCUGAGCCCAGCGAGACCGUGAACCCACCGGGAGGAACGAACAACUCCAG